This 461-nucleotide ribosomal RNA is filed under the name uncultured bacterium. Its description in RNAcentral is "bacterial SSU rRNA". It matches the Rfam family "Bacterial small subunit ribosomal RNA", at positions 32 to 523 of the family's 1533-position model. The record is from RNAcentral.
AUCAACGCUGGCGGCGUGCCUAACACAUGCAAGUCGCACGAGAAAGGGGAGCAAUCCCUGAGUAAAGUGGCGCACGGGUGAGUAACACGUGAAUAAUCUACCUCCGAGUGGGGAAUAACUGAGAGAAAUCUUAGCUAAUACCGCAUAACACUUACGAGUCAAAGCAGCAAUGCGCUUGGAGAGGAGUUCGCGGCCGAUUAGUUAGUUGGCGGGGUAAUGGCCCACCAAGACGAUGAUCGGUAUCCGGCCUGAGAGGGCGCACGGACACACUGGAACUGAAACACGGUCCAGACUCCUACGGGAGGCAGCAGUGGGGAAUUUGCGCAAUGGGGGAAACCCUGACGCAGCAACGCCGCGUGGAGGAUGAAAUCCCUUGGGAUGUAAACUCCUUUCGAUAGGGAAGAUAAUGACGGUACCUAUAGAAGAAGCCCCGGCUAACUUCGUGCCAGCAGCCGCUGUAA